RNAcentral lists this ribosomal RNA (462 nucleotides) under Nocardiaceae bacterium 'ARUP UnID 472'. RNAcentral's name for it is "bacterial SSU rRNA". It matches the Rfam family "Bacterial small subunit ribosomal RNA", at positions 27 to 506 of the family's 1533-position model. The record is from RNAcentral. Lineage: Bacteria; Bacillati; Actinomycetota; Actinomycetes; Mycobacteriales; Nocardiaceae.
GGACGAACGCUGGCGGCGUGCUUAACACAUGCAAGUCGAGCGGUAAGGCCCUUCGGGGUACACGAGCGGCGAACGGGUGAGUAACACGUGGGUGAUCUGCCUCGCACUCUGGGAUAAGCCUGGGAAACUGGGUCUAAUACCGGAUAUGACCAGGGAAUGCAUGUUCUCUGGUGGAAAGGUUUACUGGUGCGAGAUGGGCCCGCGGCCUAUCAGCUUGUUGGUGGGGUAACGGCCUACCAAGGCGACGACGGGUAGCCGACCUGAGAGGGUGACCGGCCACACUGGGACUGAGACACGGCCCAGACUCCUACGGGAGGCAGCAGUGGGGAAUAUUGCACAAUGGGCGAAAGCCUGAUGCAGCGACGCCGCGUGAGGGAUGACGGCCUUCGGGUUGUAAACCUCUUUCGACAGGGACGAAGCGCAAGUGACGGUACCUGUAGAAGAAGCACCGGCCAACUACGU